CAAUUCUACGAAUUGGAGAGUGUAUAUAAUAUUUACUACGUAAAAUAUUAUCUUAACCAGGGAUCUAUAUUUGGCUACAAAAAAAAAAAUUAACUCUGGCUUUUAUUAUAGAUUAGGUGGGAUUUUCAUGAGAAUUUGUGUGUUAUAAUAUAAAUUGAGUUUAGUUUUAGAUAAAUUUUUAAUAUUAUUAAAAAUUGAAAUAUGUUUAUAGGUUAUCUUAUUGUAAGUAAAGAGAGUGCCAGCAGCUGCGGUUAGACUCUAUACAACUAUUAAAUUUAAGGAGCUAUUUAUUUUUUAGUUAAUAUUGAAUUAUAGGUGAAAUUUGUAAAUAUUUAUGUGUUCUUUUAGAAGUAAGUAAAUUUUUAUAAACUAGGAUUAGAUACCCUAUUAUUUUUAUUUUGCUUAGACUAUUAAGGAUAAAAUUAAUUCGUUUGGCGGCCAAUAUAUUUAGAGGAAUUUGCUUUUUAAACGAUAAACCUCGUUUUGUUUUUCUUUUCUUAUGUUUGUAUAUCAUUAUUAAAUUUUUGUUAGAAGAUUAUAAAUAAAAAUAAUUUAAUAAAUUUAGAUCAAGGUGCAGCUAUAGAGGAGUUAAAGUUAAUUACAAUAAGUAAUAUUAGGUAGAUAUAUUUUUAUAAAUUAAUAUAAACAUAGGAUUUAAUUGUAAUUUGUGGUUAUAUAAAUGAAUUAAUUAUGUUAGUGUACAAAUUGCCCGUCAUUCUCUAUGAGACAAGUCGAAACAAAGUAAGUUUACUUGAAGGUGAACUUAAAAACAA
This 773-nucleotide ribosomal RNA is filed under the name Grandidierella taihuensis. RNAcentral describes it as "12S ribosomal RNA". The record is from RNAcentral. Lineage: Eukaryota; Metazoa; Arthropoda; Malacostraca; Amphipoda; Corophiidae.